This 394-nucleotide ribosomal RNA is filed under the name Enterobacter hormaechei. RNAcentral's name for it is "partial 16S ribosomal RNA". It matches the Rfam family "Bacterial small subunit ribosomal RNA", at positions 1150 to 1533 of the family's 1533-position model. The record is from RNAcentral. RNAcentral also lists the same sequence under 2 other names. Lineage: Bacteria; Pseudomonadati; Pseudomonadota; Gammaproteobacteria; Enterobacterales; Enterobacteriaceae.
UGCCAGUGAUAAACUGGAGGAAGGUGGGGAUGACGUCAAGUCAUCAUGGCCCUUACGAGUAGGGCUACACACGUGCUACAAUGGCGCAUACAAAGAGAAGCGACCUCGCGAGAGCAAGCGGACCUCAUAAAGUGCGUCGUAGUCCGGAUUGGAGUCUGCAACUCGACUCCAUGAAGUCGGAAUCGCUAGUAAUCGUGGAUCAGAAUGCCACGGUGAAUACGUUCCCGGGCCUUGUACACACCGCCCGUCACACCAUGGGAGUGGGUUGCAAAAGAAGUAGGUAGCUUAACCUUCGGGAGGGCGCUUACCACUUUGUGAUUCAUGACUGGGGUGAAGUCGUAACAAGGUAACCGUAGGGGAACCUGCGGUUGGAUCACCUCCUUACCUUAAAGAA